UAAAAAUUAAAGGAACAUCUAAACCAGCUGUGUCUGAUAGCUCAGUGGUGUGUGAAGCAACAUCGCAUAAAAACACCACUAACAUAAACACACAAGAGAAAAUCGUGCUCGCUUUGGGAUCGGCUUUGGGUUUGUGUUUGCUUCUGAUUUUCUGUCUCACUUAUUUCAUAUUGAGGAAAAGAAAAUGUAAGAAAAUGAACACGUCUAUAGAAGAUUCUCCAGGCCUGAAGCAGGAAUCGGACUCUGAAUCACUGCAUUAUGCAGCUUCACAAUUCACGAAGAGGAAAGCCAAGGCUCAGAAAAGAGACGCCACAUUACAGGAGGACUGUGUGUAUUCUGGAGUGUAUUCUGGAGUGUAUUCUGAUGUGUAUUAUGAAGUAAAAUAAAUCUGUAUGUAACAUUUAUUAAAGCAGGGUUUAUUUCUGUUCACGUCUUAUUAGGGCUGGGACGAUUCACUAAUCUGGCGAUUCAAUACUAUCCCGAUACUUUUGUGCUGAUUCAAUACAUAUUGCGAUUCUGUAGCUAUUGCGAUUCAUUGUUUAAAUUGUGAUUUUUGUUGGCUUAAUAAAGAUUAGACAAUGGCAAAUACUUGAUCAUACCCUUAAAGAGACUGUAUAUGAGUUAUAUUAACAAAAAUAAUGCAUCACAUCUUUCUGAAUUUUUAUUUC
Silurus meridionalis is the source of this 668-nucleotide long non-coding RNA. RefSeq lists it as uncharacterized. Lineage: Eukaryota; Metazoa; Chordata; Actinopteri; Siluriformes; Siluridae. The transcript has 5 exons. The record is from RefSeq and is a predicted model, not a curated record.